AAUAGAUACCCCGGUAGUCCACGCCGUAAACGAUGAGUGCUAAGUGUUAGAGGGUUUCCGCCCUUUAGUGCUGCAGCUAACGCAUUAAGCACUCCGCCUGGGGAGUACGGCCGCAAGGCUGAAACUCAAAGGAAUUGACGGGGGCCCGCACAAGCGGUGGAGCAUGUGGUUUAAUUCGAAGCAACGCGAAGAACCUUACCAGGUCUUGACAUCCUCUGGCAACCCUAGAGAUAGGGCUUUCCCCUUCGGGGGACAGAGUGACAGGUGGUGCAUGGUUGUCGUCAGCUCGUGUCGUGAGAUGUUGGGUUAAGUCCCGCAACGAGCGCAACCCUUGAUCUUAGUUGCCAGCAUUCAGUUGGGCACUCUAAAGUGACUGCCGGUGACAAACCGGAGGAAGGUGGGGAUGACGUCAAAUCAUCAUGCCCCUUAUGACCUGGGCUACACACGUGCUACAAUGGAUGGUACAAAGGGCUGCAAACCUGCGAAGGUAAGCGAAUCCCAUAAAGCCAUUCUCAGUUCGGAUUGCAGG
This 529-nucleotide ribosomal RNA is filed under the name uncultured bacterium. RNAcentral describes it as "bacterial SSU rRNA". It matches the Rfam family "Bacterial small subunit ribosomal RNA", at positions 777 to 1304 of the family's 1533-position model. The record is from RNAcentral.